This 428-nucleotide ribosomal RNA is filed under the name Hypocassida subferruginea. RNAcentral describes it as "partial 16S large subunit ribosomal RNA". The record is from RNAcentral. Lineage: Eukaryota; Metazoa; Arthropoda; Insecta; Coleoptera; Chrysomelidae.
GUCUUCUUGAUUAUAAUUUGAAGUCCAACCUGCUCUAUGAGUAUUAAAUGGCCGCAGUAUUUUGACUGUGCUAAGGUAGCAUAAUCAUUAGUUUCUUAAUUAGAAGCUUGUAUGAAUGGUUUGAUGAAAAAAUAUCUUUCUUAUUAUUAAUUUUUUAAUUUUAUCUUUAAGUAAAAAAGCUUAAAUUUUUUUAGGGGACGAGAAGACCCUUUAGAAUUUUAUAUAAUAUUUAUUUAAUUUUAUUUGGAAUUUAUUGGUUAUUUAAGUUUUAUAUUUAGUUGGGGUGACUGAAAAAUUUAAAUAACUUUUUUUAUUUUUUUACAUUAUUAUUGGUUAAUUGAUCCGUUAAAACGAUUAAAAGAAAAAAUUACCUAAGGGAUAACAGCGUAAUAAUUUUUUAGAGUUCAAAUCGAAAAAAUUGAUUGCGA